Molecule: long non-coding RNA, 258 nt
Filed under: Elaeis guineensis (African oil palm)
Lineage: Eukaryota; Viridiplantae; Streptophyta; Magnoliopsida; Arecales; Arecaceae
Description: long non-coding RNA (EGUI_LNC039994)
Source: RNAcentral
UUUAGCAUGUAAGAAGGACUCCUAAACUUCUUCCUUUCCUAAGAAAUUUGGGCACAAAAACCUAGUGGUGGGCGGCAUGAAAAAAUCCUAGAGUCUAAAGGAGUUUGGACUCUUAUCUCCUACUCAAACUCUAUCCUCUCUUCCUAUUUAAACCAAGGUACCUUAUGGGGCGUUAGAUAAACCAGAUAUGAUCAGGUUUUAACACCAAAAUGGGGAGUUGUGCAUGGAGAAAAAAUCAAGGGGAGAGGGCGUGACAUG